AAGACCUCAAAUCAGGUGGAAUUACCUGCUGAACUUAAGCAUAUCAAUAAGCAGAGGAAAAGAAACUAACAAGGAUUCCCCUAGUAAUGGCGAA
This 94-nucleotide ribosomal RNA is filed under the name Dasyspora gregaria. RNAcentral's name for it is "partial 28S ribosomal RNA". It matches the Rfam family "Eukaryotic large subunit ribosomal RNA", at positions 1 to 93 of the family's 3401-position model. The record is from RNAcentral. Lineage: Eukaryota; Fungi; Basidiomycota; Pucciniomycetes; Pucciniales; Sphaerophragmiaceae.